AAGACGGUCAGGAGAGAGACCCUUUUUGAAAUCGAGGGCGCCGAAGGGGCAAUCGACCCGCGGAGGGGCCGAAAACUCUCAGGCAAAAGGAUCCUGGCCUGACG
This 104-nucleotide non-coding RNA is filed under the name Phycisphaerae bacterium. Its description in RNAcentral is "Glycine sequence". It matches the Rfam family "Glycine riboswitch aptamer". Rfam says of the family: This family represents the bacterial glycine riboswitch. Glycine riboswitches usually consist of two metabolite-binding aptamers domains with similar structures in tandem. Lineage: Bacteria; Pseudomonadati; Planctomycetota; Phycisphaerae. The record is from RNAcentral.